RNAcentral lists this ribosomal RNA (561 nucleotides) under uncultured bacterium. RNAcentral's name for it is "bacterial SSU rRNA". It matches the Rfam family "Bacterial small subunit ribosomal RNA", at positions 56 to 647 of the family's 1533-position model. The record is from RNAcentral.
UGCUUCCCCAUGGCAUUAGAACGAGGUAGCAAUACCUCGUGGCGGUACAGGGUGAGUAACGCGUGGGAAUCUGCCCAAGGGUGGGGGAUAACUAACCGAAAGGUUAGCCAAUACCGCAUAUGCCGUGAGGUAAAAGGAGUAAUCCGCCCCUGGAUGAGCCUGCGUCCGAUUAGCUUGUUGGUAGGGUAAAAGCCUACCAAGGCUACGAUCGGUAGCUGGUCUGAGAGGAUGAUCAGCCACAAUGGGACUGAGACACGGCCCAUACUCCUACGGGAGGCAGCAGUGGGGAAUUUUACGCAAUGGGGGAAACCCUGACGUAGCGACACCGCGUGAGCGAAGAAGCCCUUUGGGGUGUAAAGCUCUGUCAGCAGGGACGAAAAAAAUGACGGUACCUGCAGAGGAAGCAUCGGCUAACUACGUGCCAGCAGCCGCGGUAAGACGUAGGAUGCAAGCGUUGUCCGGAUUCAUUGGGCGUAAAGAGUUCGUAGGCGGUUUGUUAAGUCUGAUGUUAAAGAUCAGGGCCCAACCCUGAGAGUGCAUUGGAUACUGGCAGACUGGAGU